Small nuclear RNA from Canis lupus familiaris (dog), 147 nucleotides. RefSeq annotates it as U4 spliceosomal RNA. The record is from RefSeq and is a predicted model, not a curated record. The transcript has a single exon. Lineage: Eukaryota; Metazoa; Chordata; Mammalia; Carnivora; Canidae.
AGCUUUGCACAGUGGCAGUAUCGUAGCCAAUGAGGUUAAUCCAAGGCGCGAUUAUUGCUAAUUAAAUACUGACGGAGGGCAGCCCCCUGGCUCUCGGUUUCGCGCCACCUUCAGCCCAGGGCGUGAUCCUGGAGACCCGGGAUCGAG